GGUUGGUACAAGCUGAGUAGGGAGCCAGGUGGGUUGGUAGAAGCUGAGUAGGGAGCCAGGUGGGUUGGUACAAGCUGAGUAGGGAGCCAGGUGGGUUGGUAGAAGCUGAGUAGGGAGCCAGGUGGGUUGGUACAAGCUGAGUAGGGAGCCAGGUGGGUUGGUAGAAGCUGAGUAGGGAGCCAGGUGGGUUGGUACAAGCUGAGUAGGGAGCCAGGUGGGUUGGUACAAGCUGAGUAGGGAGCCAGGUGGGUUGGUACAAGCUGAGUAGGGAGCCAGGUGGGUUGGUAGAAGCUGAGUAGGGAGCCAGGUGGGUUGGUAGAAGCUGAGUAGGGAGCCAGGUGGGUUGGUAGAAGCUGAGUAGGGAGCCAGGUGGGUUGGUACAAGCUGAGUAGGGAGCCAGGUGGGUUGGUAGAAGCUGAGUAGGGAGCCAGGUGGGUUGGUACAAGCUGAGUAGGGAGCCAGGUGGGUUGGUACAAGCUGAGUAGGGAGCCAGGUGAGUGAGUACAAGCUGAGUAGGGAGCCAGGUGGGUUAGUAUAAGCUGAGCCUGGUGAAAGGGACUCAUGGUUGUAGUUGGGCCUCUGAUAUAACCGGUGGA
Brienomyrus brachyistius is the source of this 596-nucleotide long non-coding RNA. RefSeq lists it as uncharacterized. The record is from RefSeq and is a predicted model, not a curated record. The transcript is spliced from 3 exons. Lineage: Eukaryota; Metazoa; Chordata; Actinopteri; Osteoglossiformes; Mormyridae.